Molecule: long non-coding RNA, 700 nt
Organism: Octopus sinensis (East Asian common octopus)
Lineage: Eukaryota; Metazoa; Mollusca; Cephalopoda; Octopoda; Octopodidae
Exons: 2
Source: RefSeq, a predicted model, not a curated record
AUAAGUACCAGAUAAGUAAUGGGGUCGAUGUAAUCAAUUUACCACCUCCCAGAAAUUGCUGGCCUUGUGCCAAAAUUUGAAAUUAUUAUUAGCAAUAUUCUUGCCUCUUUCUUUUCAUAAAUAUUUGCUGCUGUCUUUUUUGAUGGGUGAGGUAGAGGGGCCCUUUGUUUUAAUCAUUUCUUUCACAUAUAUAUAUAUGUGUAUAUAUGUAUAUACAUGCAUUUAGCCUCUUUCAUCUUGCCAUGAUGUCCCUCAUUAUUUACUGAAAGCACUCUAAGGCUUUUGUAAUGCUGUUGAAUUACUGCAGCAUUGGCUUAUGUAUAUUAUAUAAAUAUACAUGGUUAUUAUCAGUGUUAUUUUUCGACAGUUUAAAUAAGACUUUUGACUGUUAUUUCCAUCAAGUAGACAUACUCAGUAUGUGUGCGUGCAUGAGCAUCCUUGUUAUGAGAUGGGUUUACAAGUGCUGCAAAUUUUCUGCUUUACUUUUGUAUAUGUGAGAUGUUUAAAAAAAAUCUAUGAAUAUUUGAAGACCACUAGAUCUUGUCAGUUUCUUUUUCCUUUCCUCCAGUACCACCAUGACCACCACCACAGCCACUAAUCCCAAUAAUAUCAACAUCAAUGGAGGUCACUCAACUUGGUAGAAAUAGUAUCCUAGUGUCCCUCUAAUUACACCUCACUCUUUUAAAAACAAUAAGAACUU